CCUACGGGGGGCAGCAGUGAGGAAUAUUGGUCAAUGGACGAGAGUCUGAACCAGCCAAGUAGCGUGAAGGAGGACUGCCCUAUGGGUUGUAAACUUCUGUUAUAUGGGAAUAAAAUGUGCCACGUGUGGGAUUUUGUAUGUACCAUAUGAAUAAGGAUCGGCUAACUCCGUGCCAGCAGCCGCGGUAAUACGGAGGAUCCGAGCGUUAUCCGGAUUUAUUGGGUUUAAAGGGAGCGUAGGUGGCUUGUUAAGUCAGUUGUGAAAGUUUUCGGCUCCACCGUAAAAUUGAAGUUGAAACUGGCAGUCUUGAGUACAGUAGAGGUUGUCGUAAUUCGUGGUGUAGCGG
This 346-nucleotide ribosomal RNA is filed under the name uncultured bacterium. RNAcentral's name for it is "partial 16S ribosomal RNA". It matches the Rfam family "Bacterial small subunit ribosomal RNA", at positions 338 to 681 of the family's 1533-position model. The record is from RNAcentral.